GGAUGUGAGGGUGAUCUGGCUGAAUAUCUGUCACCCCAUUGAUCGCUGGGGUUGAUUCAGCUGAUCCAGCUGGCUAGACAGGUGUCCCCUUCCUCCCUCACUGCUCCAUGUGCGUCCCUCCUGAAGCUGCGUGCUCGGUCGAAGAAGAAGGGCUUCCCCAAACAGAGACGGACCGGUCUUCGGUCGAGGGUAUAGGAGUAGCUGCGCUCCCCUGCUAGAACUUCCAAACAAGCUCUCAAGGUCCAGGAAUAGCCCCCAAACUGAGCAACAGCCAAUGAGGCAAAAUGGAGACAGUAGCACAUGGAGUUUCU
Erinaceus europaeus (western European hedgehog) is the source of this 311-nucleotide unclassified non-coding RNA. Its record names the gene 7SK. It matches the Rfam family "7SK RNA". Rfam says of the family: 7SK was discovered as an abundant small nuclear RNA in the mid-70s but a possible function has only recently been suggested. Two independent studies have found that 7SK RNA binds the CDK9/cyclin T complex (known as elongation factor P-TEFb). NCBI's taxonomy places the organism in Eukaryota, Metazoa, Chordata, Mammalia, Eulipotyphla, Erinaceidae. The record is from Ensembl.